GUUUUGACUCCCGUCUAGACAAUUAGCUAAUCUAUAACAAAACUGUUAUUGUUUUCCAUAUACAUGAUGGUUCUGAAGUAGUGAAGCUAAGCGAAGAUGUUUUCCUUAAAAUAAGCAGAGAUGAUGAUGUUCAAUCUCACCAAAAAAAAGCUUACACAACCGAGGAUUAUCUCAAAGAUCACUGAAGAGCAACUAAAAGCUAAGUCAACCGCUGAAAGCCAAACAGAGGAUAGCCAAACUCAGACUCAAGAAUCGCCUACAACAACCCACACACCUGUACAAACACACCAACUGGUGAAAGCCAGCCCAAUGGUACAGCGAGAGAAACAACAGCUGCAUAGGCAAAAUUGAAAGCAUCACUUGUAGUGUUAAAAGCAUAAGCCUCUCUCUCUCUCUCUCUCUAUAUAUAUAUAUAUAUAUAUAUAUUGGGAAGCUUCGGAGGGAAUUUUUUUUGAUCUGCCAAAAGGGAAGAAGCUAUUAGCUCUCUUGACAUUCUCACAAAGCAGCUUGUGUGUACGCAUCUUGAUGGAUUGAAAAUUAUCAGCAUCUAUCUGUGUAUCAGUUGUGUACCCAUUAGUUUUUUUUCAUAAUGAUAAUUGAGUUUAUUAGGUGAAA
This is an RNA transcript of Camelina sativa (false flax), 615 nucleotides long. It is a transcript of the gene named sec-independent protein translocase protein TATB, chloroplastic-like, with no coding region annotated. Lineage: Eukaryota; Viridiplantae; Streptophyta; Magnoliopsida; Brassicales; Brassicaceae. The record is from RefSeq and is a predicted model, not a curated record.